RNAcentral lists this ribosomal RNA (127 nucleotides) under uncultured bacterium. RNAcentral's name for it is "partial 16S ribosomal RNA". The record is from RNAcentral.
AAGUCUCUCAGUACGUCAUUAUCUUCCUGGUUAACAUUUUACAUCCUAAAGGCUUCAUCCUCACGCAGCAUGGCUGGAUCAGGGUUUCCCCCAUUGGCCAAAAUUCCCCACUGCUGCCUCCCGUAAG